Long non-coding RNA from Paramisgurnus dabryanus, 888 nucleotides. RefSeq lists it as uncharacterized. Lineage: Eukaryota; Metazoa; Chordata; Actinopteri; Cypriniformes; Cobitidae. The record is from RefSeq and is a predicted model, not a curated record.
UAAGACGGAAUUACUGGGCUUCUCUUCAAUGCUCUAUAUUACAACACAGAGAGGACAGCAUCACUCCACAAAAGUUUUUGUUAAAAACGUCAACGUUCAGAGGCAUCACUCAGUACCAGUCAUGCAGAGACUUUAUGAGGCUGUUGUAAGAGAUUAGCAUAUCCCCUGUAUGUCAGUAAUGCACUACUUCAAAGAUGUGAGGACAAGAACAUACACCUGCGAGUAGUCUUUGACAUUGCCUGUGUUGUUGCCUCACAUUUGCAGAUUCACUUGUAAAGAAGCAAGUCGAUGCUGGAUUUGCAGAGAGACUGUGAUUAAAAGCCCCACUAAUAUUGGAUCUGACGAAAAUGACACAGCAAGUGUCACUGUGGCCUCAAAGCUUCAGCACUGGCACUCAGAGAUCGAUUGCUAAGUCUCAGAAUUGGCUCCCCAUAACGGUAGCCUGUUAUGAUAGUCAAGAGGAGACAGGAGAUGAUGGACAGUGUAAUGGAUGGACAUCUUUUGUAAGGCUAAAACAAAUAGACAACACAAUAUGAGUUUCUUACUUCCACUGAUGACGGGCAGUCAGCUCCUGUGGCCUAUUGGGAUAUUACAGACAGAACCUACAUCCUGCAACUGCACCUUGGCAACUGUCUCCAGUGGAAACAAUUCCCCAAUGACAAAUACUAUUGUAUUGAAAUUGUACUAUGAUCAGAUGUAUACCAGGGGGUAUACACAAUCGGAGGGUAAUCACAAUUGGAUGUCUGUGAUUAUUGAAGUAAAUCAGCAUUCAGCAACUUCUUUAAACAGUUUUAAGUAGAGUUUUCUUUUAGACACACUGUUCUUAUAAUAGAUAGGCUUGUUCUUUAUUUAACACGUCUUUAUGCAUAUAGGGUUACUGCAUUAAUA